CACCGAUUGGGUCGCUUCUCCCGCACGCUGUGACGGCCCGGUGCGUCUCUAGCGUCAGCCCACGCGGCGCCUCCCGCGCUUUGUCUCGGUCGUGGGAGCCUAGCGCUGCGGCGCGUGGAGCGGGGAGAGCUCCCGCGGGCCUGAGAAACGCAGAUACCCUCAGAAAGGAAACGGAUGCGACCUAGACGCUGGAGACGAAACGAAAGAUGUCUUGACUUUGCAUUUUAUCAUAUGGUCAUUUUGAAAAGUUUCUUUGAGUAUUAUAAGAAGCAACCUGAAAACUCAGAUCUGCAGGAGGUGAGGCUUUGCUGCACCACAGAUUUGCCAUUGUGAGUUUCUCCCUCACCACAAGCCCAGAAACAAUGGAGCCAGAUUACCAUAGACUGAAACCUCAGAAACUAAGUCAAAAUAAACUUUUCCUCCUUUGAGUUCAUUUUCUUGUAUUUUGUUGCAGUGAGGAAUACUGGACUAACGUACUUGGGGUUCAAGAAAAACCUAAAGAUUUUGUUAUUUAAAGAUGUUUAAGUUCACAUGAACUUCAUUCUUUGUAAAGAGUAUUUCUCUAGCACAUAUGAGGCACCCUGGGUUCAAUAUGCAGAGAGAGAGAGAGGGAGAGGGAGAGAGAGAGAAGCUGCUCUACAUUUGAGCCCCUGGGGUUUCAAACAGAAGAAAAAAAGCUUCAAAACAUUAACAAAUAUUUU
This 701-nucleotide long non-coding RNA is filed under the name Heterocephalus glaber (naked mole-rat). RNAcentral describes it as "lncRNA (ENSHGLG00100040138.1)". Lineage: Eukaryota; Metazoa; Chordata; Mammalia; Rodentia; Bathyergidae. The record is from RNAcentral.